UAAUACGUAGGUGGCAAGCGUUAUCCGGAAUUAUUGGGCGUAAAGCGCGCGCAGGCGGUUUCUUAAGUCUGAUGUGAAAGCCCACGGCUCAACCGUGGAGGGUCAUUGGAAACUGGGGAACUUGAGUGCAGAAGAGAAAAGCGGAAUUCCACGUGUAGCGGUGAAAUGCAUAGAGAUGUGGAGGAACACCAGUGGCGAAGGCGGCUUUUUGGUCUGUAACUGACGCUGAGGCGCGAAAGCGUGGGGAGCAAACAGGAUUAGAUACCCUGGUAGUCCACGCCGUAAACGAUGAGUGCUAAGUGUUAGAGGGUUUCCGCCCUUUAGUGCUGCAGCUAACGCAUUAAGCACUCCGCCUGGGGAGUACGGUCGCAAGACU
RNAcentral lists this ribosomal RNA (376 nucleotides) under uncultured bacterium. RNAcentral's name for it is "bacterial SSU rRNA". It matches the Rfam family "Bacterial small subunit ribosomal RNA", at positions 521 to 895 of the family's 1533-position model. The record is from RNAcentral.